This 4272-nucleotide long non-coding RNA is filed under the name Homo sapiens (human). RNAcentral's name for it is "HSALNT0037498". The record is from RNAcentral. Lineage: Eukaryota; Metazoa; Chordata; Mammalia; Primates; Hominidae.
AAAUUGCUCAGGAUUCCAAGGAAUCUAUGGAGGAGGCUCAGCAGCAGCUGGAUGGCAGAGGCCCGGCUGCUACAGGAAGGUGAAAUAAGACAGAAGAAAAGGGUUAGAACUUUAGAACUCCAGGACCCAACCUCAGUCCUUUCAAGCACCGUCUGCAAACAGAUGCUGUGCUAGACUCAGCACCCUGUCUGGUGAAACUGCUCCUUGGGGUGACAUCGGUCGAAUGUGUGAGAGGCUUCAGCGGAUGCCCUGACUUUUACACCAUGGAAGGGCUUUCUCCUCACUCUCCAUUCUUCAUCCCACUCCAUCCAUGCGCUUUCUCCCCUCCCCAUGGGGUGGGGUGGGGGAGUCUUUCCUCCAGCUGAGAGCAGAGGCCUUGGCCAACUAGAUGUGUCUUCUGGGAUUUCACAGUCGGGCCACCUCUCACCUCUUGCACAGGCUGGUGGGUUAAAUGAAACUCCUGUAGCAACUCACAGAGCAUUUGAUUUAAAGCUAAGAUUUAUAGGAACUCACAAGUCAGAAUGGAACAAUAAUUUCCCUCCGGUUGCACUGCCACUACUGAGGAGCAAUCGCCUAAUUCCACACAGAGUUUGCUGAUUCUGUGGGCCUAACAGAGAACUCCAGAUGGGCAACUAGGAGCUAAGAAGUGCAUCCUAUGUCACCAGGAGCUAAUUUUCCCUGGAUUUUCAAAGAGGCCUCAUAUUUGACCCAUGUCAUGGCAGGGUGAAAUAUAAGUCCUUCCUGAACCCUUGGAAGCUGAACGUUGUGGACAUCAGCCAUGGGAAAUACAUUUCCUUUAAACUGAUCACCAGGCCUUAGUAUGAUCCAUGCCUUGAGUGGACAGAGACCUUUCAUGUUUGGUCAUUACUCAGCCAGACACUUCUCUGAGAGGUGAUGACUUCCCUAGGAAGGAAUAACAAAGCCCCUUUCAGGCUGUUGAUGGGCCCUGUCCACUUUAAUUUUGCAUUCAGCCUCGCUCAUUUCUGUGAGCUGAGAUUUUGAUUAUUCUGAUUUCCACGACUCCUUUUGUGAAACAGAGACACUGAGGUGAAUGCACGGGCCCAGUCCCCUCCUUUUUGAGUGUGCCCUCGGAAGCAGAGGCAGGUGGUGUUGCCGAAACACCCAGGUUCUGUCUAGGUCCUGCCGCUCCCUGCACAGAAAGCCAAUCACAGAGAUGACAAGUAUUGCCAAGGAAGAAGGCUUUAAUCAGGUGCUGUAGCUGAGAAGAUGGGAGCCCAGUCUCAAAUCCAUCUCCCCAUCCACCUAAAACUAGGGGUUUAUACACCAGGGAAGAAAGAUAACAGUGUGUAAGAAAACAGGAACUACGGAGGGGCAAGGAAGCAGUCACAAUGUAGGGUAUCUCAUUGUCUGGAUGUGUUGAUCUGGUGAGUUUCCCUUCUUUGAUGAUACUUUUUUUUUGAGAGGCGGUGGCUCAUGCCUGUAAUCCCAGCACUUUGGGAGGCUGAGGCGGGUGGAUCAUUUGAGGUCAGGAGUUCGAGACCAGCCUGGCCAACAUGGUGAAACCCCGUCUCUACUAAAAAUACAAAAAAAAUGAGCCAGGUGUGGUGGCGGGCACCUGUAGUCCCAGCAAUUCGGGAGGCUGAGGCACGAGAAUUGCUUGAACCCAGGAGGCAGAGGCUGCAGUGAGCCGAGAUUGCACCACUGCACUUCAGCCUGGCGACAGAGGGAGACCCUGACUCCAAAAAAAAAAAAAAAGGUAAGGUUCAGCCAGGUGUGUUGGCUGACGCCUGUAAUCCCAGCACUUUGGGAGGCCAGGUGGGUGGAUCACGAGGAUCACAAGGUCAAGAGAUGGAGAACAUCCUGGCAAACAUGGUGAAACCCCAUCUCUACUAAAAAUACAAAAAAUUAGCCGGGUGUGGUGGCAGGCACCUAUAGUCCCAGCUACUCGGGAGGCUGAGGCAGGAGAAUAUCACUUGAACCCGGGAGGUGGAGGUUGGAGUGAGCCAAGAGUGUGCCACUGCACUCCAGCCUGGAGACACAGUGAGACUCCAUCUCAAAAAAAAAAAAAAAAAAAAAAAAAAGGAAGGUUCAAACUUUAGAACCAGAAGGGUCAAUUUCUACGUUUAUCCAAAAAACUAUUUAUGGGACUAUUGGGUCAAUUUCAGUGGGAGGCCCCAGGGCCAUGCCCCAGAGGAAGAGACUGGCGUUUAGGGAAUGAAAGCACAGGGAAGUGAGGAACGUGGAGUAUUGCAGAGCCAAGCUGAGGGGCUAUGGCAAGAGAGGCGAAGAAGAAAGACAAAGCAGCAAGCCAGCAGGCAGAGGGAGGCACAGUGAGGCAAAAGCUGGUUCUGGAGCCACCAUGUAAGCAAAUUCAGCUCCUUUUACACCUGGCUCAGGCCACUUCAUGGAGCUAAGGUGGGGCCGGGUGCCCCAUCUUCAUCAUCCUGUACUCCUAGAUUCAUUGCAAAUAGUUUGUUCUGAGUUUUAGGGCCUUCUGGGAUGAAUGAGGGGGGUGGUACCCCAUUCUUUGCCCACCAUAAGCAGCAGAGAAGGCCUCCUCAAAAACCCUGGGGGCUUAGGUAAAACCCCUCUCCUGUACAGAGCACACUGUGAGUGUUCAAUAACCAGUCAUGGUUAGAUUAUCCAAAAGAUUAUCCAAAAGCCCAUGCAGGAGGAGAGGGUAUGAAAAGGGCAUGGGAAAUAUUACAGAGAAGUGAGGGGGCACAUUUAAAGAAAAAAGAAAAGGAGACAAGAAUGGGGCUUAGGUAGGUCUGACACUUGGUGGGGGCCAUUAGCCAGAGGACCCAGUGCUGGAGAGCUAUCCCUGGUUUGUGAGGAGUUACUGGUUAGAUAACCUCCCUAGAUUGGACUAUCCAGAAGGAUCAGCAUGGUACACGUAUGUUUUUUGUAAGAUAUUGUAAGACAUCAUUUGUUAGAUGUCAGAUCAAAAAGUAGUUUGUACCAAGUCAGGGCUCCCAACCUUCUCAAGUGUGAUGGCCAUCUUAUUUCUUGCCUGUUAACUCUUUUUAAUAGUGAAAUAUGACAAACAGAGGAAAGUGCAUUAAAACCUGAGUGUUGACUGCUGGUUCCCCCAAGAUGGAGAGUCCCAUUCCUCCCAGACACUCCCUCUUACAGGUAAAAUAUCUGGACAUAACACAACAGACAGCAGAAGAAGACUCUGAAAGCUGGAGGAAGGAAGAAAAAAAGCCUAGGGACCUCAGACCUUGAAGAAUGACAGUGGAUUUCUCAUCUUGAAACCAUGGAGGCCAAAAGGAAGAGGCACAACAUUUUUCAAGUUGAAGAUAGAACUUAGAAUCACAAAUCCAAUAGCCACUGAAAACGCCCUUCAGGAAUGAAGGAGAAAUCAGACAUUCUCAGAUGAAAGAAAACUUAAGAGAACUUAUUGCCAACCUAGAAGAAAUGUGCUAAUGUCAAGAAAGCUACAAACUACCAAACUCAACGAGGAUGAUAGAGACAACCUGAAUAGUUCCAUAGCUGCUACAGAAAUUAAAGUUAUAAGCAAACGGCUCACAAAAAAGAAAUCUUCAGAUGAAAAUACUUUAAGGAGUAUUAAUACCAAUUUUACACACUCUAUCUCAGAAAGUAAAAGAAAGAACGUUUCCUGGCUCAUUGUAUAAGGCUAGUAUUACCCUGAUACCAAAAUCAGGAAAAUGCAGUACAGAAAAGAAAGUUAUAGACCACUAUCUCUAUAAAUUUAGACACAAAAUUUAUCAACAAAAUUUUGUAAACCUAAUACAGCAUCGUAUAUAAAAAAUUAUAUACACCAUGAUGAAGUGGGAUUUAUUCCAUAUAUGCAAGUUUGGUUCAAUAUUCCAGAAUCAGUCAAUGUAAUUUACUCUGUUAACCAGGUAAAGAAUAAAAAUGAUUAUAUCAUUUGAUGCAGAAAAAAAGAUUAACACAAUCCUAUGCCCAUUCACGGUAAAAAGUCUCAGCAGACUAGGAAUGGCGGGGAGUGGUGGGGACAAUCCUAAGUUGAGAAAGAGCAUCUAUUUAAAAACCUAGGCUGGGCACAGUAGCUCAUGCCUGUAGUCCCAACACUUUGAGAGGCUGAGAUGGGCGGAUUGCUUGAGCCCAGAAGUUCAAAACUAGCCUGGGCAACAUGGCAAAACCCCGUCUCUUCAAAAAAUACAAAAAUCAGGCUGGGCAAGGUGGCUCACACUUGUAAUCCCAACACUUUGGGAGGUGGAGGUGGGCAGAUCACUUGAGGUCAGGAGUUUCAGACCAGCCUGGCCAACAUGGUGAGACCUCGUCUCUAACAAACAAUACAAAAAUUAGCUGGGCAUGGUGGUG